Molecule: long non-coding RNA, 228 nt
Organism: Chiroxiphia lanceolata (lance-tailed manakin)
Lineage: Eukaryota; Metazoa; Chordata; Aves; Passeriformes; Pipridae
Exons: 3
Source: RefSeq, a predicted model, not a curated record
CCGACCCCGCUCCAGCCCCGCUCGGUCCCGCCGUGCCCUGGAGAUGCUCUCGGGGCUGCGCCGCCGCUUUUUCCCCCCGGAAGCGACCCACGGCGGCAGAUCCGACCGAGAUCGUCCCCGGGGUGACGAAGCUUAUGGAAAGAAAGACCAAAGGCCUGGAGGCUCCCUCUUUUCCUUCGCUCGCCGUGGCCGUGCCGGACGCCUCUGGCAGGACUGACCCCGUGGCUU